RNAcentral lists this ribosomal RNA (253 nucleotides) under uncultured bacterium. RNAcentral describes it as "partial 16S ribosomal RNA". It matches the Rfam family "Bacterial small subunit ribosomal RNA", at positions 524 to 776 of the family's 1533-position model. The record is from RNAcentral.
UACGUAGGGUGCAAGCGUUAAUCGGAAUUACUGGGCGUAAAGCGCACGUAGGCGGCUUUGUAAGUUAGAGGUGAAAGCCCGGAGCUCAACUUCGGAAUUACCUUUAAGACUGCAUCGCUUGAAUCAUGGAGAGGUCAGUGGAAUUCCGAGUGUAGAGGUGAAAUUCGUAGAUAUUCGGAAGAACACCAGUGGCGAAGGCGACUGACUGGACAUGUAUUGACGCUGAGGUGCGAAAGCGUGGGGAGCAAACAGG